CCAGGGCCCAGGUCCAUAGCACCUGAGCAAGGGAAACAGGACAGACCCUGAAAGGGUGACAGGUCCAACCAAGCCUUCUGCACAUGAGGCAAUAUAGGUGACAGGGCAUGUCCAAAGCCAAGCUGGGAAGUCUCUCCACAAGUGAGGGCUGCAAUCAGAUGCAGUGACUAUGAGGCAGUUUUCCAUAUCCCUUUGAAGUAAAUGACAUUCACAAAGACCAGCGCAGUAUUGAGAUCUACAGAGUCUGACCCAAGGAAGUCUUGGAUCCGUCCUUUAAGAAAGAGACAGGACAGAGAGAGGAAUUGAUGAGCUGUCUUGCUUCCUCUGCAGCUGUUUUGAAGUCAACUUCUUCCAGCUCUGCUUUGUAGAAUUUUUUUGCACACUUUACGUAUUCCUAUAAGCAGAAGGGUUACAGUUGUCAGACUGAUGAGAACUUGGAAUUAUAUGGAUGUGAAGACUGUGAAAUAAAGCAGAAUGGUUUAAGGAA
This is a long non-coding RNA of Vidua chalybeata, 487 nucleotides long. RefSeq lists it as uncharacterized. The transcript is spliced from 3 exons. The record is from RefSeq and is a predicted model, not a curated record. Lineage: Eukaryota; Metazoa; Chordata; Aves; Passeriformes; Viduidae.